UAUUAGCUCCGAUAGAAACGGAAUCCUUUUUUGUUACGGCCAAAACAUAAAUCAGAGGUUUACGAACGCAGUUCAGGAGGUCGUAACAAAAAAGAUACAGUACUUCGGCAGGCUCAGCA
This 119-nucleotide small RNA is filed under the name Chryseobacterium taichungense. RNAcentral describes it as "Flavo-1 RNA". The record is from RNAcentral. Lineage: Bacteria; Pseudomonadati; Bacteroidota; Flavobacteriia; Flavobacteriales; Weeksellaceae.